AGCUCUCAGGGAAGUACAGUGUUCAAUACACAGGUGGAUAUUCACAGGGCUGGGCUGUCAAUGUGCAGAGGUUCUAGCUCUCAGGUAUGUACAGCGUUCAAUACACAGGUAAGUAUUCACAGGGCUGGGCUGUUAGCGUACAGGGGUUCUAGCUCUCAGGUAAAUACAGUGUUCGAUACACAGGUGGGUAUUCACAGGGCUGGGCUGUUAGCGUGCAGGGGUUCUAGCUCUCAGGUAAGUACAGUGUUCGAUACACAGGUAAGUAUUCACAGGGCUGAGCUGUUAGCGUGCAGGGGUUCUAGCUCUCAAUGUAAGUACAGUGUUCCAUACACAGGUAAGUAUUCACAGGGCUGAGCUGUUAGCGUGCAGGGGUUCUAGCUCUCAAUGUAAGUACAGUGUUCCAUACACAGGUAAGUAUUCACAGGGCUGAGCUGUUAGCGUGCAGGGGUUCUAGCUCUCAAUGUAAGUACAGUGUUCCAUACACAGGUGAGUAUUCACGGGGCUGGGCUGUUAAUGCGCUACUCACCACUGAAGAUAUUCAGAGGUCUGUAUUCCAAGCAGAUACGGGUUUAGUCGAUGACUGACGGCUGGUGGGCCUUACAGAUGAAACUGCAAACAAUACUGGGCUUCCCGCCCAGCUUGACAAGGGGGCACACGGGGGAGGAUCGGCUGUUGUCCUUCGCUUCCAGGGAUUGCUGCGUGGGCAACGACAUCCAACCUCCUCCAGAGGCGCCUCCAACACGUCCGAGCUCCAGCUUACUUAAGGUAAAGACUGUGGUUGCCACCAAUACACUACUCCUCUCCGUCAGGCCUCUUCCUACGACCAGGGACACAACCACGGACAAACACCACACACCACAAAGGCACUACAAUUCUUCUCGUGUGUACACUUCAAUAUAGCAGCACUCACCACACUCCACACACUCAGUGAAAGAAGAUCGGUGGUGUAUUCCCGUUUCGGGCUCAGAGUCCUGACAGGGCGGGUCAGAUGGACAAAGGCAGGAGGGCAGACCACAGCAGGCAGAUAUAUCGUACACCGGAGUCUCUCCGUCUUUCCCAGCGAUCUCCAACGCAAGGCACUACUAUCAACACUGAGUAAACACACAAGCACUGAGGAUUAUCAGAUCAACACAAGAGGGAGGGGGAUUUUCCACUGCUACGGAGAGAUAUGCAGUCGGAAUCCUUUCUUAAAGGCGGUUAGUCUCCCUCCACAUCCGUCAUUCACUCUCCAUAAUAUACAAGAAAUGUUC
Long non-coding RNA from Carassius gibelio (silver crucian carp), 1250 nucleotides. RefSeq lists it as uncharacterized. NCBI's taxonomy places the organism in Eukaryota, Metazoa, Chordata, Actinopteri, Cypriniformes, Cyprinidae. The record is from RefSeq and is a predicted model, not a curated record. The transcript has 3 exons.